This is a non-coding RNA of Lynx canadensis (Canada lynx), 1028 nucleotides long. Lineage: Eukaryota; Metazoa; Chordata; Mammalia; Carnivora; Felidae. The record is from the annotation of a RefSeq genome assembly.
CUGGGUGAGACUGCCCUGCUGCCCUGCUGUGGAGUCUCAGCAGGCAGAGCUCUGGGAGUCUCCACCAUGGCCUGGACCCCUCUCCUGCUCCCGCUCCUCACUCUGUGCACAGGUUCUGUGGCCUCCAGUGGGCUGACUCAGCCUCCCUCAGUGUCGGUGGCCCUGGGACAGACGACCACGAUCACCUGCUCUGGAGAUGUACUGAGGGAAAGAUAUGCAUAUUGGUACCAGCAGAAGCCAGGCCAAGCCCCUGUGCUCCUAACUACUAAAAAUACUGAGCGGCCCUCAGGGAUCCCUGACCGAUUCUCCGGCUCUAACUCGGGGAACACAGCCACCCUGACCAUCAGCAGGACGCAGGCAGAGGACGAGGCUGACUAUUACUGUCAGUCCUAUGACAGCAGUGGGAACGCUCACAGUGACACAGGCAGAUGGGGAAGUGAAACACAAACGCCUUCCCUGUCUGUGUCACACUCUCCUCCAGCCACAGAAGGACUGUGGACAAGCAAUGAGCAGGUCUGACCCAGGCUCCCAGAUCCCAGGUCUCCCGAGAUCCACUCUGCCUUCUAGGCUGGCUCUGCACAGGGAGGGUCAGGAGUGCAUUCAGAGCUGACAACACCAGGCUGCCUGGGUUCUGAGAACCCGGGUACGACCUGGGGAUAGAGGGCCUGGGUGGAGGAGACAGAAGGAGGUUUUUGUCCAGUGUCACUAUCUCUGCAUUUUUAUAUGGUGGUCACUGGGCCACUGUUCACGCCAGUCACCAGGAUGAGAGUCCCCAAUGUUCCCAUGAGCUGAGCUCCUGAUGACCUGGCAUCAUGACCCACCUCCACUUGAGGGGAGCAGAGGGUACAAUAGUCACAGUGUUGUCAUCCAUACCCCCACAUCUGGGUUCACACACCACUGCUGCCUGGAGGCCCUGACAGCUCACAGGGGUCCUCCCCACUGGGAAGUGCUCUUGGUUCAGACAACCGCCUCCCCAGGUUUCUGCCCCUUCUCAGAGAGGUUCAGGUGAAUGCCGGCCUGAGUGAAUG